Molecule: ribosomal RNA, 450 nt
Filed under: uncultured bacterium
Lineage: Bacteria
Description: partial 16S ribosomal RNA
Rfam family: Bacterial small subunit ribosomal RNA
Source: RNAcentral
GUGAGGAAUAUUGGGCAAUGGGCGAAAGCCUGACCCAGCCACGCCGCGUGAGUGAUGAAGGCCUUCGGGUUGGAAAGCUCUGUGGGGAGGGAAGAAAAAGCGGUAGAGUAACUGCUCUCGUGUUGACGGUACCUCCUUAGCAAGCACCGGCUAACUCUGUGCCAGCAGCCGCGGUAAUACAGAGGGUGCAAACGUUGCUCGGAAUUACUGGGCGUAAAGCGCGUGUAGGCUGACAUGCAAGUCGGGUGUGAAAUCCCAGGGCUCAACCUUGGAACUGCACUCGAAACUGCACGUCUUGAGUACUGGAGAGGGAAGCGGAAUUCCGGGUGUAGAGGUGAAAUUCGUAGAUAUCCGGAGGAACACCAGUGGCGAAGGCGGCUUCCUGGACAGUAACUGACGCUGAGACGCGAAAGCGUGGGGAGCAAACAGGAUUAGAAACCCCUGUAGUCC